GAUGAACGCUGGCGGCGUGCCUAACACAUGCAAGUCGAGCGAUCUUCUUCGGAAGAGAGCGGCGGACGGGUGAGUAACGCGUGGGUAACCUGCCCUGUACACACGGAUAACAUACCGAAAGGUAUGCUAAUACGAGAUAAUAUGCUUUUAUCGCAUGGUAGAAGUAUCAAAGCUCCGGCGGUACAGGAUGGACCCGCGUCUGAUUAGCUAGUUGGUGAGGUAACGGCUCACCAAGGCGACGAUCAGUAGCCGACCUGAGAGGGUGAUCGGCCACAUUGGAACUGAGACACGGUCCAAACUCCUACGGGAGGCAGCAGUGGGGAAUAUUGCACAAUGGGCGAAAGCCUGAUGCAGCAACGCCGCGUGAGCGAUGAAGGCCUUCGGGUCGUAAAGCUCUGUCCUCAAGGAAGAUAAUGACGGUACUUGAGGAGGAAGCCCGGCUAACUACGUG
This 451-nucleotide ribosomal RNA is filed under the name uncultured bacterium. Its description in RNAcentral is "bacterial SSU rRNA". It matches the Rfam family "Bacterial small subunit ribosomal RNA", at positions 28 to 507 of the family's 1533-position model. The record is from RNAcentral.